Molecule: ribosomal RNA, 455 nt
Filed under: uncultured bacterium
Lineage: Bacteria
Description: bacterial SSU rRNA
Rfam family: Bacterial small subunit ribosomal RNA
Source: RNAcentral
AGGAUGAACGCUGGCGGCGUGCCUAACACAUGCAAGUCGAGCGAUUCUCUUCGGAGAAGAGCGGCGGACGGGUGAGUAACGCGUGGGUAACCUGCCCUGUACACACGGAUAACAGUACCGAAAGGUAUGCUAAUACGAGAUAAUAUACUUUUAUCGCAUGGUAGAAGUAUCAAAGCUCCGGCGGUACAGGAUGGACCCGCGUCUGAUUAGCUAGUUGGUAAGGUAACGGCUUACCAAGGCGACGAUCAGUAGCCGACCUGAGAGGGUGAUCGGCCACAUUGGAACUGAGACACGGUCCAAACUCCUACGGGAGGCAGCAGUGGGGAAUAUUGCACAAUGGGCGAAAGCCUGAUGCAGCAACGCCGCGUGAGCGAUGAAGGCCUUCGGGUCGUAAAGCUCUGUCCUCAAGGAAGAUAAUGACGGUACUUGAGGAGGAAGCCCCGGCUAACUACGUG